Aegilops tauschii subsp. strangulata is the source of this 108-nucleotide non-coding RNA. NCBI's taxonomy places the organism in Eukaryota, Viridiplantae, Streptophyta, Magnoliopsida, Poales, Poaceae. The record is from RefSeq and is a predicted model, not a curated record.
UAACCAUGGUUAGGGCAUAAGUUCAAGAAUUUAGAAUAUCUUUCCCAAGCUUUAUAUAAACUUUCACCAUCUUCCUGGACGAAUAAGGUGAGGUUUCUUCUUAAUUUA